This is a long non-coding RNA of Argiope bruennichi, 1072 nucleotides long. RefSeq lists it as uncharacterized. Lineage: Eukaryota; Metazoa; Arthropoda; Arachnida; Araneae; Araneidae. The transcript has 3 exons. The record is from RefSeq and is a predicted model, not a curated record.
CAAUAACAAAAACAAACAUGACUCCACUUACGGAGUAUUUACUAUAUUUUGUACUUGCACUAUUUUUCAUGGGCUUUCUUGCUUUUGGAAAUUUUUAUGAUAUCUACAUGAAAUAUAUUGAUUCUGCACAAGAAUUUAUGGAGACUUAUGAAAGUCCCAUAAUUUUGUUUUACCUCUCCUCUGUUUGCUACGCCAUAUAUCAUGCAUGGACUAAUGAUCAGGAAUAUGAGGCAUGAAAUGCAGUAAGAAGGUUGUAUUUUUUUUUAUUAAAAUAGAAACUGAACGACUUCUGUUUGGUAUGAAGUUCCAAUUUUUUAAGGAUUUGUAUUGCACUUUUUGAUAUAUCUUUUUCAAACAUUUGUUGAUCAUUUCAUGCAUUGGCUUCAUUUCAAAUCAUGUGCAUUCUUCAACUCUACUAAUUUUGAUUCAAUAUCUUCUAAGAACACUUUUGUAAUUUGUAACAAAAUGUAUAUUUGAAGACUGAUUUUUCUAAUAGUAGAAAUUCUUGUUUUUAACUACAUAGACAGUUAAACAUUCAAAUAAAGUAUAACUCUUUUAUACUUAAAUAACAGAUUUAUAUAAGCCUGAAAAAAUACAUUGAUACAUAACUCAUUUUAUAAGUAACAUGCCUCUUUUCUAUAUUUAUUUUAUAUCUUCUUUUAAUAUUUUAUAAUCAAUAUAUUUUAGCUUAAUGUGUGAAGCUAAUCUGAUGGAAUAUAGAUGUUUUGCCUUAAGUACAAAAAAGUAUGACUGUUAGAUUUCUCUUAUAAACUUUAUUGUAAAAAGUCUAAGGAUGUUUAAAUAUUAUGUAAUCAUGUUUGAUUUUGGCCUAAAAAAAUAUGCUUUGAUGGUCAAAUGCAUGAUCAUGUGGAGAGAGAUGAAAAAAGGAUAAUUUUACCAAACUACUUUUUUUUUUAACAUGUAGGACAUUUACUCAAACGAUGGGUGCUGGUUUAAUUAUUAAAGAAAAUAGAAUUGCUAAUGAGUUAACAUUAAUUUUUUUUUCAUAUAGGCAAAAUAAUUAAUUAUAUUUUUAAAAAUUUAUAUCGGAUCACUAGAUACAAUUAAUUAG